CGGGAGGCAGCAGUGGGGAAUAUUGCACAAUGGGGGAAACCCUGAUGCAGCAACGCCGCGUGGAGGAUGACACAUUUCGGUGCGUAAACUCCUUUUAUAUGGGAAGAUAAUGACGGUACCAUAUGAAUAAGCACCGGCUAACUCC
Molecule: ribosomal RNA, 145 nt
Filed under: uncultured bacterium
Lineage: Bacteria
Description: partial 16S ribosomal RNA
Rfam family: Bacterial small subunit ribosomal RNA
Source: RNAcentral